UCCCAUAUAGAAAGGGGCGCUCCGUGGCCUACUGGCGCGGCCAAGCUGACUAUGGCGAUUGUGUGAUCUCCUGGUUCCCGGGGCCUCGAAAGGCUCCCGGUUAAUUACUCCCACGGGUUGCUGAUUGAGCUGUGUGGUCGUCAUCAUCGUAUUCGCUUCGUGUUCUCCAUGGAUGCAUGAUGAGGUUGAUGGUGUGUGUGGCGGGACAGUGACAGAGCCCGUGUCUCGUCGGUACACGCGCCGCAAGUGGUGUGGCCUUUAUGGUGGCCAUGCCAGCCCUCGCCUUCGUGCCUCGCUGGUCUUGGCGGAAGCGUCGAUCGCGGAGUAGCAUGGAGAGCGCUCGGCUUGGACUGCCUGAUGAUCGGAAGCCUCGUCGGGGCAUGCAAGGAGCUAGGCCUCGCGGGAGUAAUUGUCGAUGGAGAUCGGUGUUGGUGUAAGACCGUCGCGUUGCUCAUAUCAGCAUGGUCGGUGUGGCUGACGCCUUGUCCUGACCGGACGCCGAGUGGACGUCAGCGAAGGAUGU
RNAcentral lists this long non-coding RNA (523 nucleotides) under Hordeum vulgare. Its description in RNAcentral is "long non-coding RNA (HVUL_LNC007925)". Lineage: Eukaryota; Viridiplantae; Streptophyta; Magnoliopsida; Poales; Poaceae. The record is from RNAcentral.